CUUUGGACAAUGGUAGGAGAGCGUUCUAAGGGCGUUGAAGCAUGAUCGUAAGGACAUGUGGAGCGCUUAGAAGUGAGAAUGCCGGUGUGAGUAGCGAAAGACGGGUGAGAAUCCCGUCCACCGAUUGACUAAGGUUUCCAGAGGAAGGCUCGUCCGCUCUGGGUUAGUCGGGUCCUAAGCUGAGGCCGACAGGCGUAGGCGAUGGAUAACAGGUUGAUAUUCCUGUACCACCUAUAAUCGUUUUAAUCGAUGGGGGGACGCAGUAGGAUAGGCGAAGCGUGCGAUUGGAUUGCACGUCUAAGCAGUAAGGCUGAGUAUUAGGCAAAUCCGGUACUCGUUAAGGCUGAGCUGUGAUGGGGAGAAGACAUUGUGUCUUCGAGUCGUUGAUUUCACACUGCCGAGAAAAGCCUCUAGAUAGAAAAUAGGUGCCCGUACCGCAAACCGACACAGGUAGUCAAGAUGAGAAUUCUAAGGUGAGCGAGCGAACUCUCGUUAAGGAACUCGGCAAAAUGACCCCGUAACUUCGGGAGAAGGGGUGCUCUUUAGGGUUAACGCCCAGAAGAGCCGCAGUGAAUAGGCCCAAGCGACUGUUUAUCAAAAACACAGGUCUCUGCUAAACCGUAAGGUGAUGUAUAGGGGCUGACGCCUGCCCGGUGCUGGAAGGUUAAGAGGAGUGGUUAGCUUCUGCGAAGCUACGAAUCGAAGCCCCAGUAAACGGCGGCCGUAACUAUAACGGUCCUAAGGUAGCGAAAUUCCUUGUCGGGUAAGUUCCGACCCGCACGAAAGGCGUAACGAUUUGGGCACUGUCUCAACGAGAGACUCGGUGAAAUCAUAGUACCUGUGAAGAUGCAGGUUACCCGCGACAGGACGGAAAGACCCCGUGGAGCUUUACUGUAGCCUGAUAUUGAAAUUCGGCACAGCUUGUACAGGAUAGGUAGGAGCCUUUGAAACGUGAGCGCUAGCUUACGUGGAGGCGCUGGUGGGAUACUACCCUAGCUGUGUUGGCUUUCUAACCCGCACCACUUAUCGUGGUGGGAGACAGUGUCAGGCGGGCAGUUUGACUGGGGCGGUCGCCUCCUAAAAGGUAACGGAGGCGCUCAAAGGUUCCCUCAGAAUGGUUGGAAAUCAUUCAUAGAGUGUAAAGGCAUAAGGGAGCUUGACUGCGAGACCUACAAGUCGAGCAGGGUCGAAAGACGGACUUAGUGAUCCGGUGGUUCCGCAUGGAAGGGCCAUCGCUCAACGGAUAAAAGCUACCCCGGGGAUAACAGGCUUAUCUCCCCCAAGAGUUCACAUCGACGGGGAGGUUUGGCACCUCGAUGUCGGCUCAUCGCAUCCUGGGGCUGUAGUCGGUCCCAAGGGUUGGGCUGUUCGCCCAUUAAAGCGGUACGCGAGCUGGGUUCAGAACGUCGUGAGACAGUUCGGUCCCUAUCCGUCGUGGGCGUAGGAAAUUUGAGAGGAGCUGUCCUUAGUACGAGAGGACCGGGAUGGACAUACCUCUGGUGUACCAGUUGUCGUGCCAACGGCAUAGCUGGGUAGCUAUGUGUGGACGGGAUAAGUGCUGAAAGCAUCUAAGCAUGAAGCCCCCCUCAAGAUGAGAUUUCCCAACUUCGGUUAUAAGAUCCCUCAAAGAUGAUGAGGUUAAUAGGUUCGAGGUGGAAGCAUGGUGACAUGUGGAGCUGACGAAUACUAAUCGAUCGAAGACUUAAUCAAAA
RNAcentral lists this ribosomal RNA (1712 nucleotides) under Staphylococcus aureus. Its description in RNAcentral is "partial 23S ribosomal RNA". It matches the Rfam family "Bacterial large subunit ribosomal RNA", at positions 1216 to 2925 of the family's 2925-position model. The record is from RNAcentral. Lineage: Bacteria; Bacillati; Bacillota; Bacilli; Caryophanales; Staphylococcaceae.